RNAcentral lists this long non-coding RNA (324 nucleotides) under Homo sapiens (human). RNAcentral describes it as "non-protein coding lnc-DIO3-2:1". The record is from RNAcentral. Lineage: Eukaryota; Metazoa; Chordata; Mammalia; Primates; Hominidae.
UAAGGAAACUGAGGGGUAAUAAUAAAUAAUUUGCACAACACAGCACAAAGCUGAGGAGCCAACACUGGACCUGACGAAGUCCCAUUCUGGAAGCCAAACUCCCAACUGCUAAGCUCUGCUUGAAUUCUCAUUGAGCAUCUCGCUUCUUAAAAGUUUCAACAACUCAGCAGUCUAUAAUCCAACUCGCCUUCUCCACAAUGCCAAAAGUGCAAUGAGCUUCAUGCUGAAUACUGAUUUGAAGUGUGGUUCACCACACAGACUUAAAUUGUCCUUCCCACAACUUUAUCUGAGAAGCAUGACAACGGUGACAAUCACAGGACUAGU